This 404-nucleotide ribosomal RNA is filed under the name uncultured bacterium. Its description in RNAcentral is "bacterial SSU rRNA". It matches the Rfam family "Bacterial small subunit ribosomal RNA", at positions 32 to 417 of the family's 1533-position model. The record is from RNAcentral.
AAUCAACGCUGGCGGCGUGCCUAACACAUGCAAGUCGAACGCGAAAGCCCUUUCGGGGGUAAGUAGAGUGGCGUCCGGGUGAGUAACACGUAGGUAAUCUACCUUCGGGUGGGGAAUAACUCGCCGAAAGGCGAGCUAAUACCGCAUAAUGCAGCGGCACCUAAUGGUGAUUAGUUGUUAAAGCGGGGGAUCGUAAGACCUCGCGCCUGAAGAGGAGCCUGCGGCAGAUUAGCUAGUGGUGAGGUAAUGCUCACCAAGGCUUCGAUCUGUAGCUGGUCUGAGAGGACGGCCAGCCACACUGGCACUGACACACGGGCCAGACUCCUACGGGAGGCAGCAGUGGGGAAUUUUGGGCAAUGGGCGCAAGCCUGACCCAGCAACGCCGCGUGGAGGGAGGGAAAUCC